GACGAACGCUGGCGGCGUGCCUAAUACAUGCAAGUAGAACGCUGAAGCGAGGAGCUUACUCUUCUUGGAUGAGGUGCGAACGGGUGAGUAACGCGUAGGUAACCUGCCUUGUAGCGGGGGAUAACUAUUGGAAACGAUAGCUAAUACCGCAUAACAAUGGAUGACACAUGUCUUUUAUUUGAAAGGGGCAAUUGCUCCACUACAAGAUGGACCUGCGUUGUAUUAGCUAGUAGGUGAGGUAAUGGCGCACCUAGGCGACGAUACAUAGCGCACCGGAGAGGGUGGUCGGCCGCCUUGGAGCGGGGACACGCCCCAUGGUCCUGCGGGAGGCACCAGUAGGGAACGUGCGGCAAUGGGGGGGAAUCUGGCCGAAUGAGGCCACGUGAGAUGAGAAGGUUUUCGGAUCGUGAAGCUCUGUUGUGGGUUGAGAACGGGUGUGGCAGUGGAAAGUUCACACUGUGACGGUACCUAACCAGAAAGCGACGGCUAACUACGUG
Molecule: ribosomal RNA, 497 nt
Filed under: uncultured bacterium
Lineage: Bacteria
Description: partial 16S ribosomal RNA
Rfam family: Bacterial small subunit ribosomal RNA
Source: RNAcentral